This 2391-nucleotide long non-coding RNA is filed under the name Setaria viridis. Its description in RNAcentral is "long non-coding RNA (SVIR_LNC006060)". Lineage: Eukaryota; Viridiplantae; Streptophyta; Magnoliopsida; Poales; Poaceae. The record is from RNAcentral.
GGCAAGGUGGAUAUUGCUAUACGGCAGAGAAAAAUCGCGGGAGAGGAGUGGCGGAGAAAAACCAAAACAAACUCAGGGCGCCAAGAAAACGGACCGGAAAACAGAGCAGGAGAACCCCACAGGAUCCACACCGCCUUCUCCUCCUCCCUCUCUCGCCGCCGGAGCCAGAUCAAAAUACACGCUGCCGCCUCAUCCGAUGGCUCCUCUCCUCUCCCCGCCGCUGCUCGCGGACUCCGUCACCAAGUUCCAUGCGGCCUCAACGGCAGUCCCCUGCUCCGGCAGCCCACAGCGAUAUGCCAUCACGGGAUUGGCCGGGGCCGGAAGACGAGACCGGCGCCGGUGUCGUAGGACGCGGGGAAGGACGGGCUUGAGGGUGGAAGCGGUGGCGGCGGAGUCCCGCAGCUCGGAGGGGGGCGUCGCUGAGGAUUAUUACGCUGUUCUUGGUGUGGUGGGUAUUUCAUCUUGAAAGCUUUCUAUUUUGCAGUUUGUAUUAAUUAGCAAGUAGGAGUGCCUAUUUGAUUCUUGCAGUUUGUCUAGUUUGUAGACGUGGAAAAACAAGCAGUCCUUUUCUUCUUACUCUGAAACUAGAUUGCUCCUAUCAUCAAUUCAUCAUGGCAGCAAUUUCAAAUGGUUAGGCAAAAGAAGCACACUGUGUACUGGAGGUAGUUUGUUGCAUCCAUGAAAAUACUGUAGAACAUUUAGAAGUUACAGUUCUUGCGUGUUUUCAGAUGCCAGAUGCCACACCGAAGCAAAUCAAGAAAGCUUACUAUAAUUGUAUGAAGUCAUGCCAUCCUGAUCUCAGUGGGAAUGACCCUGAUGUCACGAAUUUCUGCAUGUUUAUCAACGAGGUCUACACGGUAAAAUCCUAAAAGAAAUCCUACCAUUUUAUAUGGAGCUUCAUUACAAUUUUGUCAGUAAAGUUAAUAUGUGCAUAUGAAAGCAGGUGCUUACCGAUCCCAUCCAACGAGCAGUAUAUGAUGAGAUCCACGGAUACGCUGCGACUGCAACCAACCCUUUCUUGGAUGACAAUGCACCCAGGGAUCAUGUUUUUGUCGAUGAGUUUAGCUGCAUAGGUAUUGAUGACUUUGCCCUGAACAUAAAUUUUAUUUGGAAUCAAUUUAAUUAUGUUCUGCCCACAUCUCUGCAGGAUGCAAAAACUGUGCUAAUGUGUGCUCUAAGGUCUUUCAAAUUGAGGAAGAUUUUGGAAGGGCAAGAGUUUACGACCAAUCAGGCGACAUAAAACUGAUUGAAGAAGCUAUUGAGAGCUGGUACUAAUGCCAGAGUCCUUUUUACUUUGCUUUUUGUUUGUUAAUCUAUCAAUUAUCCAAGAAACCUUACUGAAAAUUUGGUGCAAAGUGGGGCAAAUGAUUUUCCCGUUAUGCAAAUAUUAUGACUCCUGUUAUUGUUUUGAUGAACUUUCAUUUAUGUUCAGUCCAGUUGACUGCAUUCAUUGGACUUCAGCUGCACAACUUUCACUACUUGAGGAUGAAAUGCGCAGAGUAGAGAGAGUAAACGUAAGAAUUUCUUUCUAAUAAUUUUGAUGGCCUGAUCAUGUUUGCAAGAUUAAUAUUUUGAAUGUAGCUAAGUUAACAAUAGAACCAAGUAACCAAAACCUUCUAUGUUGAAACAAACUACGGAUGUUAUCCUACCUUGUCUGUACUGUACUAAUAUAUGAUUUUUUUUCCAUUUUAUCAGGUUGGAUUGAUGCUUGCUGGAAUGGGAGGUUCAAUUGAUGUGUUCCGUAUGGUAAUCUCUACUUCACAUUUUUUUUGGUUUACAAAUGGAUCACCUAUCACCAUUCACCGAUACUAAACAUGGUCAUUGUUUUUGUUGCAAAUGCAAUGACCUCAUGAAGAUGAUAUUUAUAGUAAACUUAAUUUCAAAGCUAGAAAUCAAGGCACAACUUUCUUACAUCUUGUUAACCUGUUUUAUUUAUCUUUCUUCCUUUUCACUUUGUCAGGCAAGUUCACGCUGGGAGAAGAGACAAGCCAAAGUGCUGGUAUAAUUCUCUGUUUGAUAUACAACUUUCAUUGAUACACAUGAAAAUGCUAUUAACAAAAUUUUCAGGAUCAGAAAUUUCUGAUUAUUCACAUAUUGACUGCUUGCACAUUCUUCUGAACUUGUAUGCCUCUUGCAGGAAAAGGUGAGAAGGCGGGUGAGCCAGGAUGAUUCCAGUAAGGGCGGCUCAUGGAGUGAUAUCUGGGGAGCACCAACAAGAUACCAGAAAAACGGUAAACUAACACAUAGUUUUUGGAAAUUGCCCUUGUUUUUUGUGUUUUCUAUCCUUCACCUAUAUGUGUCUUCUUAACGCUCCCACUAACACAUUAACAGAAGAGGAGGCAAAGGAGAGAGCAAAGCGAGCAGCGGCUGCAGCGAGGAGGUGGCGCGAGU